This 90-nucleotide transfer RNA is filed under the name Dyella solisilvae. RNAcentral's name for it is "Dyella sp. DHG54 tRNA-Ser". It matches the Rfam family "tRNA". Rfam says of the family: Transfer RNA (tRNA) molecules are approximately 80 nucleotides in length. Their secondary structure includes four short double-helical elements and three loops (D, anti-codon, and T loops). Lineage: Bacteria; Pseudomonadati; Pseudomonadota; Gammaproteobacteria; Lysobacterales; Rhodanobacteraceae. The record is from RNAcentral.
GGAAGGGUGGCAGAGUGGUCGAUCGCUCCGGUCUUGAAAACCGGCGAGGGAGAAAUCCCUCCGUGGGUUCGAAUCCCACCCCUUCCGCCA